AACGAACGCUGGCGGCAGGCCUAACACAUGCAAGUCGAGCGGACCUUUCGGGGUCAGCGGCGGACGGGUGUGUAACGCGUGGGAAUAUGCCCUUCUCUACGGAAUAGUCCUGGGAAACUGGGGGUAAUACCGUAUACGCCCUUUGGGGGAAAGAUUUAUCGGGGAAGGAUUAGCCCGCGUUGGAUUAGGUAGUUGGUGGGGUAAUGGCCUACCAAGCCGACGAUCCAUAGCUGGUUUGAGAGGAUGAUCAGCCACACUGGGACUGAGACACGGCCCAGACUCCUACGGGAGGCAGCAGUGGGGAAUCUUAGACAAUGGGGGCAACCCUGAUCUAGCCAUGCCGCGUGAGUGAUGAAGGCCUUAGGGUUGUAAAGCUCUUUCAGCUGGGAAGAUAAUGACGGUACCAGCAGAAGAAGCCCCGGCUAACUCCGUG
Molecule: ribosomal RNA, 433 nt
Filed under: uncultured bacterium
Lineage: Bacteria
Description: partial 16S ribosomal RNA
Rfam family: Bacterial small subunit ribosomal RNA
Source: RNAcentral